RNAcentral lists this ribosomal RNA (465 nucleotides) under uncultured Klebsiella sp. Its description in RNAcentral is "bacterial SSU rRNA". It matches the Rfam family "Bacterial small subunit ribosomal RNA", at positions 338 to 795 of the family's 1533-position model. Lineage: Bacteria; Pseudomonadati; Pseudomonadota; Gammaproteobacteria; Enterobacterales; Enterobacteriaceae. The record is from RNAcentral.
CCUACGGGCGGCAGCAGUGGGGAAUAUUGCACAAUGGGCGCAAGCCUGAUGCAGCCAUGCCGCGUGUGUGAAGAAGGCCUUCGGGUUGUAAAGCACUUUCAGCGGGGAGGAAGGCGUUAAGGUUAAUAACCUUGGCGAUUGACGUUACCCGCAGAAGAAGCACCGGCUAACUCCGUGCCAGCAGCGGCGGUAAUACGGAGGGUGCAAGCGUUAAUCGGAAUUACUGGGCGUAAAGCGCACGCAGGCGGUCUGUCAAGUCGGAUGUGAAAUCCCCGGGCUCAACCUGGGAACUGCAUUCGAAACUGGCAGGCUAGAGUCUUGUAGAGGGGGGUAGAAUUCCAGGUGUAGCGGUGAAAUGCGUAGAGAUCUGGAGGAAUACCGGUGGCGAAGGCGGCCCCCUGGACAAAGACUGACGCUCAGGUGCGAAAGCGUGGGGAGCAAACAGGAUUAGAUACCCGAGUAGUC